CCAGGCGCUGUCAGAGCUGUACAGGCACAGAGCCAGAGCGCAGCCGUGCUGGUAGAUGGCCACGCCCACGUAGUCCAGGAAGAACAGAGAGUAAUGCGCUUGCUCCGAGUGGGACUGCAACAGCUCAGGUAUGUGACAGCUGACAAAACGUAGAGGACCAGAGGCAGCGAGGAGACGUCCACAGAAAACCCCUGACCUUCGGGACCCUGCAGCCGAAAACCCAGGAUCCCCUGAGGAGGUCAAAGCUCCACGGUGACAGCGAUCUGCCGUGGAUGUUCCCGUUUCCUUCAGACAAGGAGGAGACCUCUGAGGAGAACGCCAACAUGGAGUCACAACCAGGGGGAGGAGGAGGAGCUUUAACCCUGGAGGAGGAGCAGACGAC
Molecule: long non-coding RNA, 382 nt
Organism: Siniperca chuatsi (mandarin fish)
Lineage: Eukaryota; Metazoa; Chordata; Actinopteri; Centrarchiformes; Sinipercidae
Exons: 3
Source: RefSeq, a predicted model, not a curated record